CUGCGGAGGWAUUAUCGUACAUCGGGGGUGCGAGGGCUGUCGCUGACCCUGUCGUGCACGCCCAGCGCUCUCAAACAUCCAUCUCACCCUUUGUGCAUCACCGCGUGGGUCCCCUUUGGGGGGCUUGCGUUUUCACAUAAACUGUGUAGAAUGUUUUUUUUGCGCUCACACGCAUCAAUACAACUUUCAACAACGGAUCUCUUGGCUCUCGCAUCGAUGAAGAACGCAGCGAAAUGCGAUACGUAAUGUGAAUUGCAGAAUUCAGUGAAUCAUCGAAUCUUUGAACGCACCUUGCGCCCCUUGGCAUUCCGAGGGGCACACCCGUUUGAGUGUCGUGAAACCCUCAAAUUUUUUCUUUUUGAAAAAGGAUUGGACUUGGAGGUUCAUGCUCGCUCUUUCGAAAGCGAGCUCCUCUCAAAUGAAUCAGUGGGGUUUGCUUUGCUGAUCCUUGACGUGAUAGAUGUUUCUACGUUUUGGAUUUGGCACUGUUUGCUUCUAACAGUCCCUUGGACGAUGAUGGUUCGCCGGACCCACCUUGACCUCAAUCGGGUGAGACUACCCGCUGAUAAGCAUAUCA
RNAcentral lists this ribosomal RNA (577 nucleotides) under uncultured Russula. Its description in RNAcentral is "eukaryotic LSU rRNA". The stretch from base 182 to 335 matches the Rfam family "5.8S ribosomal RNA". The record is from RNAcentral. Lineage: Eukaryota; Fungi; Basidiomycota; Agaricomycetes; Russulales; Russulaceae.